Molecule: ribosomal RNA, 118 nt
Organism: Lepisosteus oculatus (spotted gar)
Lineage: Eukaryota; Metazoa; Chordata; Actinopteri; Semionotiformes; Lepisosteidae
Source: Rfam
GCCAGCAGCCAUAUCACCCUGCAACUUACAAUUGGCAGCCCACUGAAGCUAAGCAGGUGUGAGCCUGGUCAGUACCUGGAUGGGAGACCUCCUGGGAAAAACUAAGGUUCUGCUGGAA